This is a long non-coding RNA of Oncorhynchus keta (chum salmon), 565 nucleotides long. RefSeq lists it as uncharacterized. The transcript has 4 exons. NCBI's taxonomy places the organism in Eukaryota, Metazoa, Chordata, Actinopteri, Salmoniformes, Salmonidae. The record is from RefSeq and is a predicted model, not a curated record.
ACAGACCCACAAGAGGUACCAGACUGUAGACCUGGGGGGGAUGAGGACAGACCCACAAGAGGUACCAGACUGUAGACCAGGGGGGAUGAGGACAGACCCACAGGAGGUACCAGACUGUAGACCUGGGGGGAUGAGGACAGACCCACAGGAGGUACCAGACUGUAGACCUGGGGGGAUGAGGACAGACCCACAGGAGGUACCAGACUGUAGACCUGGGGGGAUGAGGACAGACCCACAGGAGGUACCAGACUGUAGACCUGGGGGGAUGAGGACAGACCCACAGGAGGUACCAGACUGUAGACCUGGGGGGAUGAGGACAGACCCACAGGAGAUACCAGACUGUAGACCUGGGGGGAUGAGGACAGACCCACAGGAGGUACCAGACUGUAGACCUGGGGGGAUGAGGACAGACCCACAGGAGGUACCAGACUGUAGACCUGGGGGGAUGAGGACAGACCCACAGGAGGUACCAGACUGUAGACCUGGGGGGAUGAGGACAGACCCACAGGGGGAUGAGGACAGACCCACAGGAGGUACCAGACUGUAGACCUGGGGGGAUGAGGAC